ACUCCUACGGGAGGCAGCAGUGAGGAAUAUUGGUCAAUGGAGGGAACUCUGAACCAGCCAUCCCGCGUGUAGGGAAGACGGCCUUAUGGGUUGUAAACUACUUUUUAUACAGGAAGAAACUACCCUCGUGAGGGUUGACCUGACGGUACNGUAGGAAUAAGCACCGGCUACUCCGUGCCAGCAGCCGCGGUAAUACGGAGGGUGCGAGCGUUAUCCGGAUUUAUUGGGUUUAAAGGGUCCGUAGGCGGAUUAAUAAGUCAGUGGUGAAAUCCCAUCGCUUAACGAUGGAACUGCCAUUGAUACUGUUAGUCUUGAAUGAGGGUGCAGUGGUUGGAAUGUGUAGUGUAGC
Molecule: ribosomal RNA, 349 nt
Filed under: uncultured bacterium
Lineage: Bacteria
Description: bacterial SSU rRNA
Rfam family: Bacterial small subunit ribosomal RNA
Source: RNAcentral